Molecule: ribosomal RNA, 193 nt
Filed under: uncultured bacterium
Lineage: Bacteria
Description: partial 16S ribosomal RNA
Rfam family: Bacterial small subunit ribosomal RNA
Source: RNAcentral
CCUACGGGAGGCAGCAGUGGGGAAUCUUGCGCAAUGGGCGAAAGCCUGACGCAGCGACGCCGCGUGAGGGAGGAAGGCCUUCGGGUUGUAAACCUCUUUCAGGAGGGACGAAGCUACUCGGGUGAAUAGCCCAGAGGGUGACGGUACCUCCAGAAGAAGCCCCGGCUAACUACGUGCCAGCAGCCGCGGUAAU